CCUAAAGGCGUAAUGAAAGUAAAAAUGGGAGACGCUUCAGUCAACUAAGGGAGGAUGAGUUACUUUACGAUGUAUCUCCGCACUCCCGGGGCGUCUUGUUCUUAUUACAAGAAGAGGCGCACCUAGAGCGUACACGUUGGGACCCGAAAGAUGGUGAACUAUGCCUGGUCAGGACGAAGUCAGGGGAAACCCUGAUGGAGGUCCGUAGCGAUUCUGACGUGCAAAUCGAUCGUCGGAACUGGGUAUAGGGGCGAAAGACUAAUCGAACCAUCUAGUAGCUGGUUCCCUCCGAAGUUUCCCUCAGGAUAGCUGGCACUCAUUAGUUCAUUAUGAGCUUAUACGAAUCUCAUCUGGUAAAGCGAAUGAUUAGAGGCAUUGGGGCCGAAACGACCUCAACCUAUUCUCAAACUUUAAAUGGGUGAGAUCUCUGGCUUGCUUGAAAAUAUUAAAUGAAGCCAUGAGAUUUCGGAUCAGAGUGCCAAGUGG
This 486-nucleotide ribosomal RNA is filed under the name Schauinslandia sp. 2 BJS-2011. Its description in RNAcentral is "eukaryotic LSU rRNA". It matches the Rfam family "Eukaryotic large subunit ribosomal RNA", at positions 707 to 1129 of the family's 3401-position model. Lineage: Eukaryota; Metazoa; Arthropoda; Insecta; Hymenoptera; Braconidae. The record is from RNAcentral.